GAACGCUGGCGGCGUGCCUAAUACAUGCAAGUCGAACGAAYGGAGGAAGAGCUUGCUCUUCCAAAGUUAGUGGCGGACGGGUGAGUAACACGUGGGCAACCUGCCUGUAAGUUGGGGAUAACUCCGGGAAACCGGGGCUAAUACCGAAUGAUAAAGUGUGGCGCAUGCCACGCUUUUGAAAGAUGGUUUCGGCUAUCGCUUACAGAUGGGCCCGCGGUGCAUUAGCUAGUUGGUAGGGUAAUGGCCUACCAAGGCAACGAUGCAUAGCCGACCUGAGAGGGUGAUCGGCCACACUGGGACUGAGACACGGCCCAGACUCCUACGGGAGGCAGCAGUAGGGAAUCUUCCGCAAUGGACGAAAGUCUGACGGAGCAACGCCGCGUGUAUGAAGAAGGUUUUCGGAUCGUAAAGUACUGUUGUUAGAGAAGAACAAGGAUAAGAGUAACUGCUUGUCCCUUGACGGUAUCUAACCAGAAAGCCACGGC
This 485-nucleotide ribosomal RNA is filed under the name Listeria monocytogenes. Its description in RNAcentral is "bacterial SSU rRNA". It matches the Rfam family "Bacterial small subunit ribosomal RNA", at positions 31 to 497 of the family's 1533-position model. The record is from RNAcentral. Lineage: Bacteria; Bacillati; Bacillota; Bacilli; Caryophanales; Listeriaceae.